CCCAUUGGUGAAGGAGCAGGACUCGAGGCUUCACCAUAGCCAGCUGAUGAAGAAGAACUCCAGGCUUCGCCAUAGCCCAUUGGUGACGGAGCAGGACUCGAGGCUUCACCAGAGCUAGUGGAUGAAGAAGGACCACAGGCAACACUAGAGCUAGUUGAUGACGAAGAUCCCCAGGCUAUCCGAGAGUUUUUGGCCGAAGCAGGUCCCCAGGCUGCACCAGAGCUCUUAAUAUCAGACAUGGCACGCCUUGGAUUGGUUCGUUGAGCUUCACAGAGACUGGGCAAAUACAC
This 290-nucleotide long non-coding RNA is filed under the name Citrus sinensis (sweet orange). RNAcentral describes it as "long non-coding RNA (CSIN_LNC003678)". Lineage: Eukaryota; Viridiplantae; Streptophyta; Magnoliopsida; Sapindales; Rutaceae. The record is from RNAcentral.